This 194-nucleotide ribosomal RNA is filed under the name uncultured bacterium. RNAcentral's name for it is "partial 16S ribosomal RNA". It matches the Rfam family "Bacterial small subunit ribosomal RNA", at positions 338 to 524 of the family's 1533-position model. The record is from RNAcentral.
CCUACGGGAGGCAGCAGUGGGGAAUUUUGGACAAUGGGCGCAAGCCUGAUCCAGCCAUGCCGCGUGAGUGAAGAAGGCCUUCGGGUUGUAAAGCUCUUUCGGCCGGGAAGAAAUCGCACGCUCUAACAUAGCGUGUGGAUGACGGUACCGGACUAAGAAGCACCGGCUAACUACGUGCCAGCAGCCGCGGUAAU